AACCGUACAGUUAACCGCACGAUU
RNAcentral lists this non-coding RNA (24 nucleotides) under Arabidopsis thaliana (thale cress). The record is from RNAcentral. Lineage: Eukaryota; Viridiplantae; Streptophyta; Magnoliopsida; Brassicales; Brassicaceae.